ACGUCAAGUCCUCAUGGCCCUUACGGGGUGGGCUACACACGUGCUACAAUGGCGACUACAGAGGGUUGCGAUGCUGCGAAGCGGAGCUAAUCCCUAAAAGUCGUCUCAGUUCGGAUUGCACUCUGCAACUCGAGUGCAUGAAGUCGGAAUCGCUAGUAAUCGCGGAUCAGCAUGCCGCGGUGAAUACGUUCCCGGGCCUU
This 200-nucleotide ribosomal RNA is filed under the name uncultured organism. RNAcentral describes it as "partial small subunit ribosomal RNA". It matches the Rfam family "Bacterial small subunit ribosomal RNA", at positions 1182 to 1382 of the family's 1533-position model. The record is from RNAcentral.